RNAcentral lists this ribosomal RNA (924 nucleotides) under uncultured Bacillus sp. RNAcentral's name for it is "bacterial SSU rRNA". It matches the Rfam family "Bacterial small subunit ribosomal RNA", at positions 8 to 916 of the family's 1533-position model. The record is from RNAcentral. Lineage: Bacteria; Bacillati; Bacillota; Bacilli; Caryophanales; Bacillaceae.
AGAGUUUGAUCCUGGCUCAGGAUGAACGCUGGCGGCGUGCCUAAUACAUGCAAGUCGAGCGAAUGAUGAGGAGCUUGCUCCUCUGAUUUAGCGGCGGACGGGUGAGUAACACGUGGGUAAUCUGCCUGUAAGACGGGGAUAACUCCGGGAAACCGGGGCUAAUACCGGAUAACAAAAGAAGAAGCAUUUCUUCUUUUUGAAAGUCGGUUUCGGCUGACACUUACAGAUGAGCCCGCGGCGCAUUAGCUAGUUGGUGAGGUAACGGCUCACCAAGGCGACGAUGCGUAGCCGACCUGAGAGGGUGAUCGGCCACACUGGGACUGAGACACGGCCCAGACUCCUACGGGAGGCAGCAGUAGGGAAUCUUCGGCAAUGGGCGAAAGCCUGACCGAGCAACGCCGCGUGAGCGAUGAAGGCCUUCGGGUCGUAAAGCUCUGUUGUUAGAGAAGAACAAGUACGAGAGUAACUGCUCGUACCUUGACGGUACCUAACCAGAAAGCCACGGCUAACUACGUGCCAGCAGCCGCGGUAAUACGUAGGUGGCAAGCGUUAUCCGGAAUUAUUGGGCGUAAAGCGCGCGCAGGCGGUCUCUUAAGUCUGAUGUGAAAGCCCACGGCUCAACCGUGGAGGGUCAUUGGAAACUGGGAGACUUGAGUGCAGGAGAGAAAAGUGGAAUUCCACGUGUAGCGGUGAAAUGCGUAGAGAUGUGGAGGAACACCAGUGGCGAAGGCGGCUUUUUGGCCUGUAACUGACGCUGAGGCGCGAAAGCGUGGGGAGCAAACAGGAUUAGAUACCCUGGUAGUCCACGCCGUAAACGAUGAGUGCUAGGUGUUGGGGGGUUCCACCCUCAGUGCUGAAGUUAACACAUUAAGCACUCCGCCUGGGGAGUACGACCGCAAGGUUGAAACUCAAAGGAAUUGACGG